This 375-nucleotide ribosomal RNA is filed under the name uncultured eukaryote. RNAcentral describes it as "partial 18S ribosomal RNA". It matches the Rfam family "Eukaryotic small subunit ribosomal RNA", at positions 592 to 976 of the family's 1831-position model. The record is from RNAcentral.
CAAUAGCGUAUAUUUAAGUUGUUGCAGUUAAAAAGCUCGUAGUUGGAUUUCGGUUAAGAGCGACCGGUCCGCCGUUUGGUGUGCACUGGUUGGUUUUAACUUCCUGUAGAGGACGUGCUCUGGGUUUAACGACCUGGACUCGGAGUCUACGUGGUUACUUUGAAAAAAUUAGAGUGUUCAAAGCGGGCUUACGCUUGAAUAUUUCAGCAUGGAAUAACACUAUAGGACUCCUGUCCUAUUUCGUUGGUCUCGGGACGGGAGUAAUGAUUAAGAGGAACAGUUGGGGGCAUUCGUAUUUCAUUGUCAGAGGUGAAAUUCUUGGAUUUAUGAAAGACGAACUUCUGCGUAAGCAUUUGCCAAGGAUGUUUUCAUUAA